This 327-nucleotide long non-coding RNA is filed under the name Vitis vinifera (wine grape). Its description in RNAcentral is "long non-coding RNA (VVIN_LNC000947)". Lineage: Eukaryota; Viridiplantae; Streptophyta; Magnoliopsida; Vitales; Vitaceae. The record is from RNAcentral.
UUUGUUCCACGUUGUCAAAAAGUGAUUCCAGCACUGAAACUGGCCAUAUAAAUGCCUAUAAUGGUGGAAGUGGAGUAGAACCUCACUUACGCCAUCCUGACACUAGCAAUGAAGCCUCAAAAGCUCCUGCUUUGGGGCUCGAUGAAACCUCAGAAGCUCCGGAUUUGGGACUCCAUGAAACCUCAAAAGCUCCUGCUUUGGAAACCAAUCACAUAAAGGAGUUACCUGUGGGCUCGUCAACCAUUCAAACCUCAUUUGUCUCUACUGCUGACACACACCAACAAUCUGAACCACAUACCCAUCAGCAUAGAUUUUUCACGCCAGCUC